GACGAACGCUGGCGGCGUGCCUAAUACAUGCAAGUCGAACGAGAGCGACCGGUGCUUGCACUGGUCAAUCUAGUGGCGAACGGGUGAGUAACACGUGGGUAACCUGCCCAUCAGAGGGGGAUAACAUCCGGAAACGGAUGCUAAAACCGCAUAGGUCUUCGAGCCGCAUGGCUUGAAGAGGAAAAGAGGCGCAAGCUUCUGCUGAUGGAUGUACCCGCGGUGCAUUAGCUAGUUGGUGAGGUAACGGCUCACCAAGGCCGUGAUGCAUAGCCGACCUGAGAGGGUGAUCGGCCACAUUGGGACUGAGACACGGCCCAAACUCCUACGGGAGGCAGCAGUAGGGAAUCUUCCGCAAUGGACGCAAGUCUGACGGAGCAACGCCGCGUGAGUGAAGAAGGUUUUCGGAUCGUAAAACUCUGUUGUUAGAGAAGAACAAGUGCUAGAGUAACUGUUAGCGCCUUGACGGUAUCUAACCAGAAAGCCACGGCUAACUACGUG
This 498-nucleotide ribosomal RNA is filed under the name uncultured bacterium. RNAcentral describes it as "partial 16S ribosomal RNA". It matches the Rfam family "Bacterial small subunit ribosomal RNA", at positions 28 to 507 of the family's 1533-position model. The record is from RNAcentral.